Non-coding RNA from Bactrocera oleae (olive fruit fly), 1031 nucleotides. NCBI's taxonomy places the organism in Eukaryota, Metazoa, Arthropoda, Insecta, Diptera, Tephritidae. The record is from RefSeq and is a predicted model, not a curated record.
AGAAAGAUUGAAAAUUGACAUGGAGUGCUGCCACGCGAAAUCCGUCUAGGUAAUAGAAUGGAAUGCGAGUAAAGCGGAAUUUCAGAAACGCCAUCAGGGUGGUAUUUUCGAAUCUUACCAAAAGUGCAACACAUUUAAUUCACAAUAGUUGACGAUCUUAUUGAAUCUGCAUAAUUUUCUAUAACAAAAUAAUAAUGGUAAAUACCUAUUGGGUAAAUACCCUUUAACCAUUUACAAUGCGAUAUUUUACGCUCCUUCAUAAAUUAUUCACAAUAACGCUUUACUUAUCAACAAUUGAUUGAGUUGAAGAAAAUUUUGAAUAUCAUUGACUGUUAUAGAAAAUUUAUCAUUUAAUUUAAAGCCGUUUUUCAUUCGAACAAACCAAUUUCUUAUUGUAUGAAAUAUGUUACCUCGCAGUUGUACACAUUUUAAUUUGUGCAAGUCAUAUGUUCGAACUGUAAGGACAGUACCAUGUCAGCAAAUAAAACUAAAAAUUAUUCAACCUAGAGAAAAAGAAACUCAUGGUGCAAAAAAUCGUCGCCUUGGGAGAUUUUUCUCACCAAAUUUAAUGAUUUAUAAACCGCAAUUGACCUCCAUUAUGUCUAUAUCAAAUCGCGCAAGCUCAUUUUUGCUCAGUCUUUAUACAUGGGGUCUAGGCAUAGGCGCUUUAAUAUCUUCGCACGACAAUGCGCAUUUUGUUACGAUGCUUGAUGGAUUACAAUUGGGUGCAACUCCUUUAUUUAUUCUUAAAUUCCUACUCGCUUUUCCGUUUUCUUACCAUUUAUGCGCCAGUACCCGAGUGUUGAUAUGGGAAGCCACCGGAAGCUUCCUGUCAUUGCAAGGAAUUUACGGUACCGGUUAUGUUGCACUAGUGACUACUAUAUUAACAAGCAUUGGUUUGGCAUCAUUGUAAACAAUUUUGGAGAUUUUAAUAUUGUAUCAUAUGUAUGUAACUAUAUUCAUUAUAUAUGAAUCGUAUACAAUUGUUAAUGUUCCAAGCAUAUAAUAAUUAUUUGGAUGCAUGUGUGUUA